Molecule: ribosomal RNA, 376 nt
Filed under: Cryptotermes rhicnocephalus
Lineage: Eukaryota; Metazoa; Arthropoda; Insecta; Blattodea; Kalotermitidae
Description: partial large subunit ribosomal RNA
Source: RNAcentral
CUCUUCUUGUUGUUUAUUUGAAGUAUGGCCUGCCCACUGAUUUAUUUGAAGGGCCGCGGUAUUUUGACCGUGCAAAGGUAGCAUAAUCAUUAGUUCUUUAAUUGUGAGCUGGUAUGAAUGGUUUGAUGAGACAUUGGCUGUCUUUGUUUGUAUUUAUUGAAUUUGUUGUUUGGGUAAAAAUACCUAGAUUUUUUUAUGGGACGAGAAGACCCUAUAGAGUUUUAUUUAAUAUUUUCUUUUUAGUUUGUUUUGGUUUUGUGAGGUUAUUUUAUUUUGUUGGGGUGAUGGGAAGAUAAAUGUAACUCUUCUUUUUUGUUUUCACUUAUUUGUGUUUUUGUGAUCCUUUAUUAUUGAUUAUAAGAUCAAAUUACCUUAG